AACGGUCUAUACCUGCGGUACCUGCGGAAGGAUCAUUACAAAUCCAACAAUUAACUCUGUUGAAAAAGAAAGGUGUUUUUAUUGUGCUUCACCUUGACCGUGCACUUGUAUAUAAAUAUAUACAUAUACGCAUGUUCGAACAAAAGCUAGUAAAUAGUGAGCUUUCCUGCAUUGUCCUAAGCUUUUGUUCAUUCGUCUUCGGCGGAACGGAUGCACUCUCGUUGGUUAGUCUGCCACGAG
Molecule: unclassified non-coding RNA, 240 nt
Filed under: soil metagenome
Description: partial contains 5.8S ribosomal RNA, internal transcribed spacer 2, and large subunit ribosomal RNA
Source: RNAcentral